ACUUUGAGAGAUACCUCCAUCAUCCAUCUAUACUCUUCUAAAACAUCUUUCUUUGACGAAUAAAUCGAUUAAAACUGAUGACUGAAUACCAAUAUAAUACCUCUUAACUCUCAAUCCAAGCACUGUAGUUUUAUAUAUGGAGCAAAUGAAGAGAUAAAGGUUAUAGUUGUUCCAUCUAGUUUAUGAUGGAUUAUUAUAAGUAGCGAAAGUAAUUUUAC
RNAcentral lists this long non-coding RNA (218 nucleotides) under Nicotiana benthamiana. RNAcentral's name for it is "long non-coding RNA (NBEN_LNC017391)". The record is from RNAcentral. Lineage: Eukaryota; Viridiplantae; Streptophyta; Magnoliopsida; Solanales; Solanaceae.